This 739-nucleotide ribosomal RNA is filed under the name bacterium enrichment culture clone SC-2_68. RNAcentral describes it as "bacterial SSU rRNA". It matches the Rfam family "Bacterial small subunit ribosomal RNA", at positions 1 to 743 of the family's 1533-position model. The record is from RNAcentral.
UAGAGUUUGAUCCUGGCUCAGAUUGAACGCUGGCGGCAUGCCUUACACAUGCAAGUCGAACGGUAACGGGCCUUCGGGUGCCGACGAGUGGCGAACGGGUGAGUAAUGCAUCGGAACGUGCCCAGUGGUGGGGGAUAGCCCGGCGAAAGCCGGAUUAAUACCGCAUACGACCUACGGGUGAAAGCGGGGGACCUUCGGGCCUCGCGCCAUUGGAGCGGCCGAUGUCAGAUUAGGUAGUUGGUGGGGUAAAGGCCUACCAAGCCGACGAUCUGUAGCUGGUCUGAGAGGACGACCAGCCACACUGGGACUGAGACACGGCCCAGACUCCUACGGGAGGCAGCAGUGGGGAAUUUUGGACAAUGGGCGCAAGCCUGAUCCAGCCAUGCCGCGUGCGGGAAGAAGGCCUUCGGGUUGUAAACCGCUUUUGUCAGGGAAGAAAUCCUGCGGGCCAAUACCCUGCGGGGAUGACGGUACCUGAAGAAUAAGCACCGGCUAACUACGUGCCAGCAGCCGCGGUAAUACGUAGGGUGCAAGCGUUAAUCGGAAUUACUGGGCGUAAAGCGUGCGCAGGCGGUUGUGCAAGACAGAUGUGAAAUCCCCGGGCUCAACCUGGGAACUGCAUUUGUGACUGCACGGCUGGAGUGCGGCAGAGGGGGAUGGAAUUCCGCGUGUAGCAGUGAAAUGCGUAGAUAUGCGGAGGAACACCGAUGGCGAAGGCAAUCCCCUGGGCCUGCACUGA